UACGUAGAGUGCAAGCGUUGUCCGGAAUUAUUGGGCGUAAAGAGCUCGUAGGCGGUUUGUCGCGUCUGCUGUGAAAACCCGAGGCUCAACCUCGGGCCUGCAGUGGGUACGGGCAGACUAGAGUGCGGUAGGGGAGAUUGGAAUUCCUGGUGUAGCGGUGGAAUGCGCAGAUAUCAGGAGGAACACCGAUGGCGAAGGCAGAUCUCUGGGCCGUAACUGACGCUGAGGAGCGAAAGCAUGGGGAGCGAACAGG
RNAcentral lists this ribosomal RNA (253 nucleotides) under uncultured bacterium. Its description in RNAcentral is "partial 16S ribosomal RNA". It matches the Rfam family "Bacterial small subunit ribosomal RNA", at positions 524 to 776 of the family's 1533-position model. The record is from RNAcentral.